CUGUUAGUCAGCAGAGGCAGUACACCAGAUUUCCUUGUGGCUUUUAGUGGAAAAUGUUAAAAGCUCACUCAUUUUUCAGUUAUAGAAUUUUUUAGUUUGAUUUGGAUUAGUCACAGAACUGGCAUGAACCUUCUAAUUGUGAAGGCUGUCCAAAUGCACUAUUUUUUUCUCCUGCUAGAGGAAGUUACAUCCCGAGAAGUAGCUCAGAUCUCUGCCAUCACUGGUGCAAGCUAUAUUUAACGGAGAUCCUGAUGAAGUUCGAGCACUAAUAUUUAAGAAAGAAGAUGUUAACUUUCAGGACAAUGAAAAGCGAACCCCAUUGCACGCCGCAGCUUAUCUUGGAGAUGCAGAAAUCAUUGAACUUCUUAUUUUAUCUGGAGCUAGAGUUAAUGCCAAAGACAGCAAAUGGUUGACACCUUUACACAGAGCAGUUGCAUCUUGUAGUGAGGAAGCAGUUCAGGUACUUUUGAAGCAUUCUGCAGAUGUUAAUGCUCGAGACAAAAAUUGGCAAACCCCUUUACAUAUAGCUGCUGCUAAUAAAGCUGUAAAGUGUGCUGAAGCUUUGGUACCUCUUCUGAGUAAUGUAAACGUAUCUGAUCGAGCAGGGAGGACUGCAUUACAUCAUGCAGCUUUCAGUGGACAUGGUGAGAUGGUCAAACUACUCUUGUCUAGAGGUGCCAAUAUUAAUGCUUUUGACAAGAAAGAUAGGCGUGCUAUCCAUUGGGCAGCAUAUAUGGGUCACAUUGAAGUAGUGAAAUUGCUUGUGUCGCAUGGAGCUGAAGUGACAUGCAAGGAUAAAAAGUCUUAUACACCUCUUCAUGCAGCAGCCUCUAGUGGAAUGAUCAGCGUAGUCAAGUACCUUCUAGAUCUUGGAGUUGAUAUGAAUGAAACAAAUGCCUAUGGAAAUACACCUCUUCAUGUAGCCUGCUAUAAUGGACAAGAUGUUGUAGUGAAUGAACUUAUAGACUGUGGUGCUAUUGUAAAUCAAAAGAAUGAAAAAGGAUUUACUCCUUUGCACUUUGCUGCUGCAUCAACACAUGGAGCAUUGUGUUUAGAGCUUCUAGUUGGCAAUGGGGCCGAUGUCAAUAUGAAGAGUAAAGAUGGGAAAACCCCACUACACAUGACUGCUCUCCACGGUAGAUUCUCCCGAUCACAAACCAUUAUCCAGAGUGGAGCUGUAAUCGACUGUGAGGAUAAGAAUGGAAAUACCCCUUUGCACAUAGCAGCACGGUAUGGCCAUGAGCUGCUGAUCAACACUCUUAUUACAAGUGGUGCUGACACUGCAAAGCGUGGCAUACAUGGAAUGUUCCCCCUCCAUUUGGCAGCCUUAAGCGGCUUUUCAGAUUGCUGCAGAAAACUUCUUUCUUCAGGAUUUGAUAUAGAUACCCCAGAUGAUUUUGGCAGGACUUGUCUACAUGCAGCUGCAGCUGGAGGGAAUUUGGAGUGCCUAAACCUUCUGCUGAAUACUGGUGCAGACUUUAAUAAAAAGGACAAAUUUGGGAGAUCUCCACUGCACUACGCUGCUGCCAACUGCAAUUACCAGUGCCUGUUUGCUCUUGUGGGAUCAGGAGCAAGUGUGAAUGACCUUGAUGAAAGAGGCUGCACACCCCUGCACUAUGCAGCUACAUCAGACACAGAUGGCAAGUGCCUGGAAUACUUAUUAAGAAACGAUGCAAAUCCAGGGAUCCGUGAUAAGCAAGGAUACAAUGCAGUUCAUUAUUCAGCUGCUUAUGGUCACCGUCUAUGUCUUCAGCUGAUUGCAAGUGAAACUCCUCUAGAUGUUUUAAUGGAAACCUCAGGAACAGACAUGCUGAGUGAUUCAGAUAAUAGAGCAACAAUAAGCCCUUUACACUUGGCUGCCUAUCAUGGUCACCAUCAAGCACUGGAAGUGUUGGUACAGUCUUUGUUAGAUCUUGAUGUCAGAAAUAGUAGUGGAAGAACACCCCUAGAUCUUGCAGCUUUUAAGGGCCAUGUUGAAUGUGUGGAUGUACUCAUUAAUCAGGGAGCCUCAAUCUUAGUAAAAGAUUACAUUUUGAAGAGGACACCUAUACAUGCAGCAGCAACAAAUGGUCAUUCAGAAUGCUUACGGCUAUUAAUAGGAAAUGCAGAACCACAGAAUGCAGUGGAUAUUCAAGAUGGAAAUGGACAGACGCCUCUGAUGCUAUCUGUUCUCAACGGGCACACAGACUGUGUUUACUCAUUGCUGAACAAAGGAGCAAAUGUAGAUGCCAAAGAUAAGUGGGGAAGGACAGCGUUGCAUAGAGGGGCAGUUACAGGCCAUGAAGAAUGUGUAGAUGCAUUACUUCAACAUGGUGCUAAGUGCUUACUUCGGGAUAGCAGGGGCCGGACGCCUAUACACCUGUCUGCUGCCUGUGGACACAUUGGUGUUCUCGGAGCCCUUUUGCAGUCAGCAGCAUCUAUGGAUGCAAAUCCAGCCACAGCAGACAAUCAUGGAUAUACAGCACUUCACUGGGCUUGCUACAAUGGUCACGAGACAUGUGUAGAACUGCUUUUAGAACAGGAAGUUUUCCAGAAAACGGAAGGAAAUGCUUUUAGUCCAUUGCAUUGUGCCGUGAUAAAUGACAACGAAGGUGCUGCUGAGAUGUUAAUUGAUACAUUAGGUGCCAGCAUUGUGAACGCCACAGAUUCAAAAGGAAGAACUCCUCUCCAUGCAGCCGCCUUCACAGACCAUGUAGAGUGUUUACAGCUGCUGCUCAGCCAUAAUGCUCAAGUCAAUUCUGUGGACUCUACAGGGAAAACACCUCUUAUGAUGGCUGCAGAAAAUGGACAAACAAAUACAGUUGAGAUGCUGGUUAGCAGUGCUAGUGCAGAACUGACUUUACAAGAUAACAGUAAAAAUACUGCCCUCCAUUUGGCUUGUAGCAAGGGUCAUGAAACUAGUGCCUUGUUAAUACUGGAAAAGAUAACAGAUAGAAACCUCAUCAAUGCAACCAACGCAGCCUUGCAAACACCUCUGCAUGUUGCUGCCCGAAAUGGGCUAACAAUGGUGGUUCAGGAACUUUUGGGAAAAGGAGCAAGUGUGCUUGCAGUAGAUGAAAAUGGCUAUACCCCAGCUUUGGCCUGUGCUCCCAAUAAGGAUGUGGCUGAUUGCCUGGCUCUCAUUUUGGCCACCAUGAUGCCUGUCUCAUCAAGUAGUCCUUUAUCAUCCUUAACAUUCAAUGCCAUUAACCGUUAUACCAACACCUCAAAAACAGUCAGCUUUGAAGCUUUGCCCAUCAUGAGGAAUGAACCUAGCUCCUAUUGCAGUUUCAAUAACAUUGGAGGGGAACAGGAGUACUUAUACACUGACGUGGAUGAGCUCAACGACUCCGAUUCUGAGACCUACUGAGAGGCUGAGGAGGAGGGAGUUCUCACAGUAAAGCUUCAAACUGUGCUUUUUCAGGAAAAAGGCACUUCGAUAUUCACGUAGAAAUUCAACCUAAGAGGAAAGAUCGCACAGUGAGCCAAUGUUAAGAGAUCUGAUGACAUUAGGAGGAAGAGUUUUAAAG
This 3509-nucleotide small RNA is filed under the name Pan troglodytes (chimpanzee). RNAcentral's name for it is "processed transcript". The record is from RNAcentral. Lineage: Eukaryota; Metazoa; Chordata; Mammalia; Primates; Hominidae.